This 384-nucleotide ribosomal RNA is filed under the name uncultured bacterium. RNAcentral's name for it is "bacterial SSU rRNA". It matches the Rfam family "Bacterial small subunit ribosomal RNA", at positions 29 to 396 of the family's 1533-position model. The record is from RNAcentral.
AACGAACGCUGGCGGUGUGCCUCAUACAUGCAAGUCGUACGCGAAUCCUGCCGCAAGGCAGGGUUUGAGUGGCAAACGGGUGCGUAACACGUAGGUAAUCUUCCUUUGAGUUGGGGAUAAGCCCUCGAAAGGGGGUCUAAUACUGAAUAACACUUCGGGCCGGCAUCGGCCUGAAAUUAAAGAUGGCCUCUGCUUGCAAGCUAUCGCUCGGAGAUGAGCCUGCGGCCGAUUAGUUAGUUGGCGGGAUAAAAGCCCACCAAGACUUCGAUCGGUAGCCGGUCUGAGAGGAUGUCCGGCCACACUGGGACUGAGAUACGGCCCAGACUCCUACGGAGGCAGCAGUAGGGAAUAUUGCGCAAUGGCCGCAAGGCUGACGCAGCAACA